CUUAUCUUCAAGAUCAUAGAUUCUUUCUUUUGCCUGCUCAAAUUUCAUGUUGAAGAUCUCUAAAGAAAUUUUGAUUUUACUUAUGCACCUUGCAACUCCAGAGGGCAGUGUUACAUAUGGGAGCUGCCUUUAAUGCUCAGCCAGGGAUUUCACAUGUCCUCCACUUUCUCCUUUGCAGAGCUGAAAGUCCAGAGGUUAGAGGCCAGAGUAACAUUCCAUUACACCCAUAUUCUGUAGUUUGUCCAUAUUCCUGCUGGCCAUUUCAGUGUUUUUCCAUUAUGAAUAAAGUUGCUAUGAAUAUUUGGAACCGGGGAUCGAACUUGGGACCUUGUGCUUGCAAGACAGGUGGCAGAACCACUGAGCUAAAUCCCUGGCCUGCUAUGAAUAUUUUUAUACAAGAUGCAGAUGUGUAUGAGUGUGUGAAACUAUAUUUUUAUUUCUCUUGGAGAAAUGCCCCAGGAAGAAAUUACUGAGUCAUAAGACAGAUGUAUACAUUUAAGAAUAUGCAAAACUGUUCUCCAAGAAUACUAUGCUAUUUUAAAUUUUCACUGAAUUGAGAAUUCCAGUUUCUCCAUAUCCACAAUGUUGUUAGAUGUUUGCUGCCUUUACUUAAAUUUAAUUUUUUACUGGUACACA
This is a long non-coding RNA of Heterocephalus glaber (naked mole-rat), 636 nucleotides long. The record is from Ensembl. Lineage: Eukaryota; Metazoa; Chordata; Mammalia; Rodentia; Bathyergidae.